UUAGAUAUUAACUUAAAAUAUGAGGGGAUAAACACUUUUUCAAAAUUCUCCCUUGGUCUGUCAUUGCUAUGCCCUCUUCAGUCUUCUUGUCUUCAUCUGUCUAGGUCCAGCCAGCCUGCUGCAGUUGGUCCAAAAUCUCACAGAAGCUCCAAACUUUGUGGCUAAAGAGUGCACAUUUAGUCAGGCUGCUUGAGUCCUGGUCAUAGCUGUACCAUAUGUUAGCAAGUUGCUUAACCUCUCUAUCAGUUUCCAAUCAGUAAAAUUAGAAUAAUAGUAUUUGCUUCCUCAUAUUGUGAGGACCAAAUAAGAAGAAUCAUGUAAAUAUCUUAGCAAUGUGCCUGGCUUGCCCAAUAAAGAUUAGCUACCAUCUCCCCAUACUUGUGAAAAUUGUAUCAUAGUGUUGAUCCUUGUAUGUGCCCUGACCGGGACCAAACCUGCAACCUUGACACAUUGGGAUGAUGCUUUAACCAACUGAGUGUGCCAAGGCGCUGCCAAACUGAAUUCAUAUGAGAGUUCCCCUAAAGUCAAGUUCUGAAAUUACCUGUCCAGCUAGCCAAACCGAGAGCUCCUGAAACACUCGGGACAGAUUCCCAAGAAUUAUCACACUGCUCAGCACAGAGGAAGUAUCAGCAAAAGACCCAAGGACAGGAGGAUACUUUUGUCUUGAAUUGGGAGAUGAAUCCCUUCUGGGUUGACCAGCAAAGCCUCCAAAAACUCUGAGCCCUUCUUGUAAAGUCUGUAGAGUGUGAUUACAAACAACAACAGACUCUAAAAUAAAACAACACAAGUUGAA
Myotis lucifugus (little brown bat) is the source of this 793-nucleotide long non-coding RNA. RefSeq lists it as uncharacterized. NCBI's taxonomy places the organism in Eukaryota, Metazoa, Chordata, Mammalia, Chiroptera, Vespertilionidae. The record is from RefSeq and is a predicted model, not a curated record. The transcript is spliced from 2 exons.